This 447-nucleotide ribosomal RNA is filed under the name uncultured bacterium. RNAcentral describes it as "bacterial SSU rRNA". It matches the Rfam family "Bacterial small subunit ribosomal RNA", at positions 355 to 825 of the family's 1533-position model. The record is from RNAcentral.
UGGGGAAUCUUGGACAAUGGGCGCAAGCCUGAUCCAGCCAUGCCGCGUGGAUGAUGAAGGCCUUAGGGUUGUAAAAUCCUUUCGCCGAGGACGAUAAUGACGGUACUCGGAGAAGAAGCUCCGGCUAACUUCGUGCCAGCAGCCGCGGUAAUACGAAGGGGGCUAGCGUUGUUCGGAUUUACUGGGCGUAAAGCGCGUGUAGGCGGGUCGUUAAGUUGGGGGUGAAAUCCCGAGGCUCAACCUCGGAACUGCUUCCAAAACUACAAAUCUGGACCUAAGUAGAGGCAAGUGGAAUUGCGAGUGUAGAGGUGAAAUUCGUAGAUAUUCGCAGGAACACCAGUGGCGAAGGCGACUUGCUGGACUUAUGGUGACGCUGAGACGCGAAAGCGUGGGGAGCAAACAGGAUUAGAUACCCAAGUAGUCCCUGAGCGGGCUGGCAAGGCGCAU